Crotalus tigris (Tiger rattlesnake) is the source of this 638-nucleotide long non-coding RNA. RefSeq lists it as uncharacterized. Lineage: Eukaryota; Metazoa; Chordata; Lepidosauria; Squamata; Viperidae. The record is from RefSeq and is a predicted model, not a curated record. The transcript has 3 exons.
UUCACAUUUUUUAACUUCUUAAAAAAUUUUUUGUUGUUGUUCAGAAACAAAGAUAGGCUCACCAGGUGACUUUUCAAACUUGUCAUUCCAAAGACUUCUAAGACUUUAAAAUGUUUAAAUAAGCAGUUUCCAAAGUGAUUAGAAGUACACUUAGCAUACUCAGUGUCCUUUUAAAAGGUCUGCUGCAAUUGCGAGUUUAAUGAUUGAUCGUUUUGUCUCUUGGCACUCAAAGUCACUGGAGAUUGCUAUCCAAUCUCUUAGUCUUUGCAGCAUUCAUCAUCUCCAUAUAUAGAUCUAUUUUAUAUAUCUGAAUAAUUUAUAUAAUAGACAUUUUAACUUCACAACAAUCCUAUUAGGCACAGAGGAAAAGUGUAUUGUGUAAGACGACUCAAGGACCUCAUCACUGUAAACAUUGGGAGUCUUUAAACGAAGUUGAUCUUGUGCUAUUGAUGGUAACCUACGAUGGCCCACUGUUUUCUUACAGGAUCCAGGCAACACUCGAGAUUUGAUCAAACACUUCAGCAGUUACAGCUUCUUUGAUGCAGGAGUUGGGAGAAACAGGAGGAAUGCCAUGUUUAAUUUGUUUUUGGGCAAGUUGAGGAUUCCUUUGCUCCAAAUCUUCAUCAUCACUAAUGAAA